Molecule: long non-coding RNA, 2254 nt
Filed under: Equus caballus (horse)
Lineage: Eukaryota; Metazoa; Chordata; Mammalia; Perissodactyla; Equidae
Description: lncRNA (ENSECAG00000040698.2)
Source: RNAcentral
GCUUCUACCUCAGGGCGACUCAGGGGCCUGCACGUCCUCAGGAAGCACUCGUUCCAAGCGAGCCUGGUCUCGCGGGAUCCCGCCUAGGCUGCGCAGAGGGUGCUGGGAGGAUACGCGUGGUGCCGGUGUGCCCCGCCGCUUCCCACACUCCCGUCCGUAAGGAGUCAGCUUCCCGCCUCCUGUCGGGCAACCCCUGAUGAUCGGGACGGGACGCCUGGGCCUCCCCUCCGCCCGCCAGAGGCCCGGUGCAGGGGCACGCACCUGGGCAGGUGCGGAGGUUCCCACGCGACCGGAAGGCUGUGUGGGAGGGGAGGGACCCUGAGCCAGGAAGGGAGGACUGCGCAUGCGCAGGCUCUAGCCGGCGGCAGCCUUCCAGGAAGGCCUGGCACGUGUUCCAAAGAUGAGGAAAGAAGGCCAUCCCCUAGACUUGUCGGCUUGGAAUUUCAGAUCACGAAGAAAGACAGGCCUGUAAGAGCUUCAGCUGAAGAAAACACUAUUUCAUUACAAAGGAACGAGAAUCCGUCUGGCAUUAGCAACCGUGGAGGCUAGAAGACAGGGAAGCGAUGCCUUCAAAGACUAUGACCAGCCGAACUCCCAGCCAAGGGUGAAAGCAAAACAAAACAAAAAUCCAGACAGGCAGGAAUCAGAUGGUUCACCCCCAUACACGUCUUUUUAGUGGAAGUUACCUGAGACUGUACUCCAGGAAAACGAAGGCAUAUCCAAGGAAAAGAAAGACAGGCUCUGGAGACAGUGAUCUCAACGUGGGAGGACAAGAAAGAGAAGUUCUAGGAUAACAGGGAUGCGGAAGACUGGAGACGAAGCCAGGCAGCGUGGAACAGGAGAAUGGAGAUCUGGGGAGACGGGGAGCUGCACGGCCGGUGUGAUGUGGAGUCUGAAAAUGUGAAGGAGGUGAUCGAGGCAAAUGAUGCAAGAAAGCCAAAAACGAUGCGUUCCUCUUCCAGUUUCAACAACGCCUCGUUAGUCAACUCCUCAGGAACCAGCUCUGGGAGCUCCUCAGUGUCAUCCUCAUCCACACCCAGGGUAAAUUCAUUUGCCAUCUCAGCCACAGCCUUGAUGAUUUCUGCAACCUCCUCACCCUUGGCAAAUCCUUUGAAGUCAUGGACAAACCUCUUGAGUGUCUUCUUCCAGAUGUCAUUCAUAUAUUCCUUAGUGACAUCACCCCAAGCCCAAGCAAGGUUCUUGAUGCAGCCAUAGAUGUUGUGAUCCUUCCAGAAUUGCAUCAGUGUCUUCCUCAGUUACAGCAAUAGCCUGGGCAGGUGCUACUCAGGUGGUAGGCUUUAAAAGCUGCUAACUCCUUCAUCUAUUGCUUGCAUCAAAGAGGUGGUGUUUGGAGGGAGAAGGACCACUUUGAUAUUGGGAUGAAGACCACCAGUAAAAGGAGGAUGUCUGGGAGCAUUAUCAGCAAUAAGCAAAAUUUUGAAAGGUAUGUUAUUCUCCAAACAGCACUUCUCCACUUUGCUGGCCAAGAAAUUCAGGAGGCAUCUUGGAAGAGGAGCUGGGCCAUCCAUGACUUCUUCUUGCUCCUGUAUUACACCAGCAGUGCGUGCUCACUGACAUGCUUGAAGGCCCUGGGGUUCUCCCUGUGCCACAUCACAAAGGGUUUCAAUUUGUAGACUGCAACAUUGACCCCAAGGAAGACCCAAGGAAGGUUAUCCUGUCCUCAAAAGCCCUGAAACCUGGCAUUGACUUGGCCUCCUUGUGGAUGAAAGUCCUUUCAGGCAUCCGUUUCCAGAAUAGGGAGGUUUCGUCCAUAGUGAAUAUUUGCUCUGGCAAGGAAUUUUCCUCCACAAUCAGCUCAUCUAGAGUUUCCAAAAAUUCUUCAGCUGCUGUUGCAUGAGCACUCGCAGACUCAGCACUUUCACAUGAUGUGAUGAAUAAUGACUCCUGAAUCGUUUAAACCACCCAGAGCUAGCAGUGAAUUCAACAUCGUAGUCACAUACAGCCUUUUCUUUCAAUACCACAGACUUCUUGCUUUGGUCAUGAUUGUCAUGGUGCUGAGAGGGAUAUGCUUCUGUGCCUGGUCUUCAAUCCAGGUCAUCAGAAGUUUCCCCGUAUCUGAUGUAGGUCCUUCUCAAAUUUCUAUUAGUCUCGUUGGCUUCAAUGAAGCAGAUCCUUUAACAGCUUCCAUCACUUCCAACAGCUUCCAUCACUUUGUUCUUGUUCCUCAGGAGUGUAGCCCUGGUGGAACGGGACAUGCCUGACUACUGAGCAAUAACCAUCACUGAUUUUCCAC